Molecule: ribosomal RNA, 613 nt
Filed under: uncultured bacterium
Lineage: Bacteria
Description: bacterial SSU rRNA
Rfam family: Bacterial small subunit ribosomal RNA
Source: RNAcentral
CAAAGGUGAGCCAGUACAGGAUGGACCCGCGUCUGAUUAGCUAGUUGGUAAGGUAACGGCCUACCAAGGCGACGAUCAGUAGCCGACCUGAGAGGGUGAUCGGCCACAUUGGAACUGAGACACGGUCCAAACUCCUACGGGAGGCAGCAGUGGGGAAUAUUGCACAAUGGGCGAAAGCCUGAUGCAGCAACGCCGCGCGAGUGAUGAAGGCCUUCGGGUCGUAAAACUCUGUCCUCAAGGAAGAUAAUGACGGUACUUGAGGAGGAAGCCCCGGCUAACUACGUGCCAGCAGCCGCGGUAAUACGUAGGGGGCUAGCGUUAUCCGGAUUUACUGGGCGUAAAGGGUGCGUAGGCGGUCUUUCAAGUCAGGAGUGAAAGGCUACGGCUCAACCGUAGUAAGCUCUUGAAACUGGGAGACUUGAGUGCAGGAGAGGAGAGUGGAAUUCCUAGUGUAGCGGUGAAAUGCGUAGAUAUUAGGAGGAACGCCAGUUGCGAAGGCGGCUCUCUGGACUGUAACUGACGCUGAGGCACGAAAGCGUGGGGAGCAAACAGGAUUAGAUACCCUGGUAAUCCACGCUGUAAACGAUGAGUACUAGGUGUCGGGGGUUACCCC